Mesocricetus auratus (golden hamster) is the source of this 92-nucleotide small nucleolar RNA. Its record names the gene SNORA70. It matches the Rfam family "Small nucleolar RNA SNORA70". From Rfam's summary of the family: snoRNA U70 seems to be exclusive to mammals and is a member of the H/ACA class of snoRNA which contain H (ANANNA) and ACA box motifs. H/ACA box snoRNAs are involved in the conversion of uridines to pseudouridines (5-ribosyluracil) a constituent of structural RNAs (transfer, ribosomal, small nuclear, and small nucleolar). The record is from Ensembl. Lineage: Eukaryota; Metazoa; Chordata; Mammalia; Rodentia; Cricetidae.
CUGUCACGCAAUGGCUGCAAACAGUAGCCCUCCUGGUAGCUAAAGAAACCUGUCGUGUGCAUAUGUUGUCCUAAGGGACCCUCGACACAGGU